CAGCCGCGGUAAUACGAAGGGUGCAAGCGUUACUCGGAAUUACUGGGCGUAAAGCGUGCGUAGGUGGUUUUUUAAGUCCGUUGUGAAAGCCCUGGGCUCAACCUGGGAAUGGCAGUGGAUACUGGAAAGCUAGAGUGCGGUAGAGGGUAGUGGAAUUCCCGGUGUAGCAGUGAAAUGCGUAGAGAUCGGGAGGAACACCAGUGGCGAAGGCGGCUACCUGGACCAGCACUGACACUGAGGCACGAAAGCGUGGGGAGCAAACAGGAUUAGAUACCCUGGUAGUCCACGCCCUAAACGAUGCGAACUGGACGUUGGGAGCAACUUGGCUCUCAGUGUCGAAGCUAACGCGUUAA
RNAcentral lists this ribosomal RNA (353 nucleotides) under uncultured soil bacterium. Its description in RNAcentral is "bacterial SSU rRNA". It matches the Rfam family "Bacterial small subunit ribosomal RNA", at positions 512 to 863 of the family's 1533-position model. The record is from RNAcentral.